RNAcentral lists this ribosomal RNA (460 nucleotides) under uncultured bacterium. Its description in RNAcentral is "partial 16S ribosomal RNA". It matches the Rfam family "Bacterial small subunit ribosomal RNA", at positions 338 to 795 of the family's 1533-position model. The record is from RNAcentral.
CCUACGGGUGGCAGCAGUGAGGAAUCUUGGUCAAUGGGCGGAAGCCUGAACCAGCCAAGUAGCGUGCAGGAUGACGGCCCUACGGGUUGUAAACUGCUUUUAUACGGGAAUAACGCGCCUUACGUGUAGGGCUUUGCAUGUACCGUAUGAAUAAGGACCGGCUAAUUCCGUGCCCGCAGCCGCGGUAAUACGGAAGGUCCGGGCGUUAUCCGGAUUGAUUGGGUUUAAACGUAGCGUAGGCCGCAUGUCAAGCGUGCUUGGAAAUGGCCGGGCUCAACCCUGGCCUUGAAGCGCGAACUGGCGUGCUUGAGUCCGCGGAAGGCAGGCGGAAUUCGACGUGUAGCGGUGAAAUGCUUAGAUAUGACGAAGAACCCCGAUUGCGAAGGCAGCUUGCUGCAGCGGAACUGACGCUGAUGCUCGAAAGCGCGGGUAGCGAACAGGAUUAGAUACCCCAGUAGUC